This 898-nucleotide ribosomal RNA is filed under the name Arctoscopus japonicus (sailfin sandfish). Its description in RNAcentral is "partial 16S rRNA". The stretch from base 191 to 898 matches the Rfam family "Bacterial large subunit ribosomal RNA", at positions 566 to 1696 of the family's 2925-position model. The record is from RNAcentral. Lineage: Eukaryota; Metazoa; Chordata; Actinopteri; Perciformes; Trichodontidae.
CGCCCAACAGCUAGCCCACCCAAGCAAGUUCAACAAACCCCUGUUAAUAACCCCUAACUACCCUAGUAUUUAUAUUAAACAAACCAUUUUUCCCCCUUAGUAUAGGCGAUAGAAAAGAGACUAAGGCGCAAUAGAGAAAGUACCGCAAGGGAAUGCUGAAAGAGAAAUGAAACAAACCAGUAAAGCCUAAAAAAGCAGAGAUUAUGCCUCGUACCUUUUGCAUCAUGAUUUAGCAAGUGUACCCCAAGCAAAGAGUACUUUAGUUUGACGUCCCGAAACUACGUGAGCUACUCCAAGACAGCCUAUUAAUAGGGCACACCCGUCUCUGUGGCAAAAGAGUGGGGAGAGCUUUGAGUAGAGGUGAUAAACCUACCGAACCUAGUUAUAGCUGGUUGUCCAAGAAGUGAAUAGAAGUUCAGCCUCUCGGCUUCUCUUUUCACCUUAGUCUGACCCCUAUUGAUGCAUUAAAGAAACUGAGAGAGUUAGUCAAAGGGGGUACAGCCCCUUUGAAUCAAGACACAACUUUAUUAGGCGGGUAAAGAUCAUAAUAAUUAAAGCUAAAUACUCUGGUGGGCCUAAAAGCAGCCAUCCCCGUAGAAAGCGUUAAAGCUCAGGUAUGCUACUUAAACCUUCUUAUUUUGAUCACCUAAUCUAACCCCCCUAAACAUACUGGACCGUCCCAUGCCCGCAUGGGAGUGAUUAUGCUAAUAUGAGUAAUAAGAGAGCUAAAGACUCUCUCCCCGCACACGUGUACGUCGGAACGGACAAACCGCCGACUCUUAACGACCCCAAAUAAAGAGGGUACUGGAUCAUAGACCAAACAACUAGAAAAAUAUCCAAGAACUAACCGUUACCCCUACACAGGUGUGCCCCCAGGGAAAGACUAAAAGGAAGAGAA